GCCAGGGUAUGACACUGACGGCCUGUCAGCCACUCACACUGACACCUAAACGGUCGCGAGCGGGAAAUGUGUAUGAUACAGAUGGGAGUCACCUUCGUUUACACUGCUGUAGAACAGGGGACGGACAAAAUCCCAUAGGACAAAAUUUCUUUGGACAAAAUCCCACACCAAAAUGACCAACAUGGGACAAAAUCCCAUUUAAAUAGAACCCAGAACCCAGUGAGGGAGGAGAGACGAUCCAAGAGGCAGAUGAAAUUCC
Haliotis rubra (blacklip abalone) is the source of this 259-nucleotide long non-coding RNA. RefSeq lists it as uncharacterized. The record is from RefSeq and is a predicted model, not a curated record. The transcript has 2 exons. NCBI's taxonomy places the organism in Eukaryota, Metazoa, Mollusca, Gastropoda, Lepetellida, Haliotidae.